GAUUUUAUUGUGUUUUGAGAAGACUUAUUUAUCCGACUGACUUCUGUAAGAAUUGAAGUUUGAGACGGAUCUUUAAUUAACUGAAAAACUUGGAGUUUUGUUUUUGGAUUUGUGAUUCGACUUGGAGUUGAAGGAAUUGAAGACUGUUUUCUUCGAGUUCAAUCGAAGUUAUGGAAGAACGGGACACUAGUAGAAUAAAUAUGGGGAUGUCAGAUGUGAUUCUUGGCUGUGUAAUGCCCUAUAUUCAUGACCCCAAAGAUCGUGACGCUGUCUCACAAGUUUGCCGUAGAUGGUACGAGCUCGAUGCCCUUACUCGUAAGCAUGUUACCAUAGCUCUUUGCUACACCACCACACCGGAACGGUUACGGCGGCGGUUUAUUCAUCUCGAAUCCUUGAAACUGAAGGGUAAACCUAGAGCUGCGAUGUUUAAUUUGAUACCUGAGGAUUGGGGAGGAUACGUAACUCCAUGGGUAAGGGAGAUUGCUGAUUCUUUCAAUUGCUUGAGGUCUCUUCACUUCCGGCGUAUGAUUGUCGUAGAUUCGGAUCUGGAGCUUCUUGCUCGUGCACGAGGCCGUGUCCUUCUGUCGCUUAAACUUGAUAAAUGCUCUGGAUUCUCCACUGAUGGACUGUUCCAUAUCGGACGCUCUUGCAGGAAUUUAAAAACAUUGUUUCUGGAAGAGAGCUCAAUUCUCGAGAAAGAUGGGGAAUGGCUACAUGAACUUGCUAGGAACAACACAGUCCUUGAGACGUUAAAUUUUUACAUGACAGAUCUUACCCAAGUCAGAUUUGAAGAUCUUGAACUGAUAGCCAAAAACUGCCGUUCCUUAAUUUCUGUGAAAAUUAGUGAUUGUGAAAUCCUUGAUCUCGUGGGCUUCUUUCGCGCUGCUGGUGCUUUGGAGGAAUUUUGUGGAGGUUCCUUCAAUGAUGAACCAGAGAAGUAUGCAGUUGUAGCCUUGCCUCAGAAUCUCCGUAAUUUGGGUCUUACAUACAUGGGAAGGAAUGAAAUGCCAAUAGUUUUCCCUUUUGCAAACCUUCUCAAGAAGUUGGACCUCUUGUAUGCUCUGCUUCAUACAGAAGACCAUUGUACUUUAAUUCAGAGAUGCCCCAACUUAGAAGUGCUUGAGACUAGAAAUGUGAUUGGAGAUAGAGGAUUAGAAGUACUUG
This 1164-nucleotide unclassified non-coding RNA is filed under the name Hevea brasiliensis (rubber tree). Lineage: Eukaryota; Viridiplantae; Streptophyta; Magnoliopsida; Malpighiales; Euphorbiaceae. The record is from RNAcentral.